RNA transcript from Culex quinquefasciatus (southern house mosquito), 1178 nucleotides. RefSeq lists it as uncharacterized. Lineage: Eukaryota; Metazoa; Arthropoda; Insecta; Diptera; Culicidae. The record is from RefSeq and is a predicted model, not a curated record. The transcript has 2 exons.
CAUGCCCGACAUUGUUUUUUCCAUCGAUUUCCCUUCAAUUCGACGUCACGAUUUUCGUCGACGCAAACAGUUUGACAGUUCUCUUCAGUUUGUCUUGUUUGGACUUGAAUGCAACCGAAUCGAACCAGUUAUUGUUGAUGUUGGGCUUCGGAAGGAUUUUGACCGGUAAGUUGUGCUUCUUUUUCUGUCGGAAAGUUCCGGCCGGAGUGGGCAAGUGGCCAAAUUAUAGUUUCUUAUGUUCCAGAUAUUCAGAAUUCUGUCUUCGUGGCGGUGGAGGAGGAGGACGAGACGCAUGAAUCCGGCGGGCCAGAUCUUCGUGGCGGAAGACAGGACCGGGAGGAACCGAGCUUAUGGAGGAUAUGGUUCAUUCCAAAGGAGGAGGAGGAUGAAUCACCGAAUGUCAAAAGUUCUACCCAAGGUAAGAGAAAAAGGGGUACAGAAUAAUCAUCUCGUGGCGGUGUUUCUGAUCCACCGGAUUUUUUUAAUCAAUAGAACUGUUGCUUCAAGUCAUUGAAAUGAUGGAAGAGGCGCAUUUCAAAGUAUCGGGAGUGAGCUUGGAAGACCGGAAGUAUGAGGGCUAAUAUUGGGUGUUAUGAUUAUUGGACUUCAGAAUUGUAUAAUAAAAAACUCUAACAUUUGACUAAUCAAAAAUUAACUCCUUAAGGAAAUUUUUAGUAUCUCUGAUUUAACCCUUCAAGGCCCAGAACUUUUUGUACAGUUUUUAUUACCUAAAAAGUAGUUAACAUUGAAAAAACGGAUUUUUGGAAUGGUGUAACCAAACAUAUUCCAAUCUGAUCCUGCUAACAACCCAGCGUCUCCGUGUUGUUCCACGCAGCUUGUUGAACGGAAGCUGUAACGACCGCAAAAACACCUGCUCCAGAAGUUCGUAAACGUUGUCCCGUACUCCGGUGGCCAUCAAUCCAUGGGACAUAAACGGUGGCGCCGCACCCCGCCGUAUCUGCGGCUAGUCGAGGAGCAAUAGUCCUUCUUGAUCAAGAUGCUUCCCCGCACGCUGGCGUCGGCUCGAAAAGAUGGCUGACAAAAUCCGGACCCGGAAGACAACGCCAAAAAAAUCCGGCCAAGAUGCCGAGCGACGAGGAGAUCUGGAAGACCAACCGGAAGACGACACCAAGAUGUACGUGAAGAUCCGCGACACAACAAGUAUAAUGAAAUAAUUG